GACGAACGCUGGCGGCGUGCUUAACACAUGCAAGUCGAACGGAAAGGCCCUGCUUUUGUGGGGUGCUCGAGUGGCGAAAGGGUGAGUAACACGUGAGUAACCUGCCCUUGACUUUGGGAUAACUUCAGGAAACUGGGGCUAAUACCGGAUAGGAGCUCCUGCUGCAUGGUGGGGGUUGGAAAGUUUCGGCGGUUGGGGAUGGACUCGCGGCUUAUCAGCUUGUUGGUGGGGUAGGGGCUUACCAAGGCUUUGACGGGUAGCCGGCCUGAGAGGGUGACCGGCGACAAUGCUACUGCGAGAGGGACCAGACUCCUACGUGAGGCAGCAGUGGGGAAUAUUGCACAAUGGGCGGAAGCCUGAUGAGACAACGCUCCGUGCGUGAUGACGGCUUUCGGGUUGUAAACCGCUUUCGCCUGUGACGAAGCGUGAGUGACGGUAAUGGGUAAAGAAGCACCGGCUAACUACGUG
This 468-nucleotide ribosomal RNA is filed under the name uncultured bacterium. Its description in RNAcentral is "partial 16S ribosomal RNA". It matches the Rfam family "Bacterial small subunit ribosomal RNA", at positions 28 to 507 of the family's 1533-position model. The record is from RNAcentral.